UAGGGAAUCUUCCGCAAUGGGCGAAAGCCUGACGGAGCAACGCCGCGUGAGUGAUGAAGGUCUUCGGAUCGUAAAACUCUGUUAUUAGGGAAGAACAAAUGUGUAAGUAACUAUGCACGUCUUGACGGUACCUAAUCAGAAAGCCACGGCUAACUACGUGCCAGCAGCCGCGGUAAUACGUAGGUGGCAAGCGUUAUCCGGAAUUAUUGGGCGUAAAGCGCGCGUAGGCGGUUUUUUAAGUCUGAUGUGAAAGCCCACGGCUCAACCGUGGAGGGACAUUGGAAACUGGAAAACUUGAGUGCAGAAGAGGAAAGUGGAAUUCCAUGUGUAGCGGUGAAAUGCGCAGAGAUAUGGAGGAACACCAGUGGCGAAGGCGACUUUCUGGUCUGUAACUGACGCUGAUGUGCGAAAGCGUGGGGAUCAAACAGG
This 429-nucleotide ribosomal RNA is filed under the name Actinomycetes bacterium. RNAcentral's name for it is "Actinobacteria bacterium partial 16S ribosomal RNA". It matches the Rfam family "Bacterial small subunit ribosomal RNA", at positions 355 to 776 of the family's 1533-position model. Lineage: Bacteria; Bacillati; Actinomycetota; Actinomycetes. The record is from RNAcentral.